RNAcentral lists this ribosomal RNA (525 nucleotides) under uncultured bacterium. RNAcentral describes it as "bacterial SSU rRNA". It matches the Rfam family "Bacterial small subunit ribosomal RNA", at positions 355 to 896 of the family's 1533-position model. The record is from RNAcentral.
UGGGGAAUAUUGGACAAUGGAGGGAACUCUAAUCCAGCAAUUCUGUGUGUACGAAGAAGGUCUUAGGAUUGUAAAGUACUUUUAGUUGGGAAGAAGGAAGUGACGGUACCAACAGAAGAAGCGACGGCUAAAUACGUGCCAGCAGCCGCGGUAAUACGUAUGUCGCGAGCGUUAUCCGGAAUUAUUGGGCUUAAAGGGCAUCUAGGCGGUAUAACAAGUUGAAGGUGAAAAGCUGUGGCUCAACCAUAGCCUUGCCUACAAAACUGUAAUACUAGAGUACUGGAAAGGUGGGUGGAACUACACGAGUAGAGGUGAAAUUCGUAGAUAUGUGUAGGAAUGCCGAUGAUGAAGAUAACUCACUGGACAGAAACUGACGCUGAAGUGCGAAAGCUAGGGGAGCAAACAGGAUUAGAUACCCUGGUAGUCCUAGCUGUAAACGAUGAUCACUGGGUGUGGGGGUGCAAAACUUCUGUGCCGAANCAAAAGCGAUAAGUGAUCCGCCUGGGGAGUACGUUCGCAAGAAUG